CUGCAGCCCGAGUGGUGAUCGAUUUUAUUGAGCCUAAAGCGUCCGUAGCCGGACUAGUAAACCCUUGGGUAAAUUGGGCAGCUUAACUGUCCAACUUCCGAGGGGACUGCUAGUCUUGGGACCGGGAGAGGUCAGAGGUACUCCAGGGGUAGGGGCUAAAUCCUGUAAUCCUUGGGGGACCACCAGUGGCGAAGGCGUCUGACUAGAACGGAUCCGACGGUAAGGGACGAAACCCUGGGGCGCGAACCGGAUUAGAUACCCGCGUAGUCC
RNAcentral lists this ribosomal RNA (270 nucleotides) under uncultured archaeon. RNAcentral's name for it is "partial 16S ribosomal RNA". It matches the Rfam family "Archaeal small subunit ribosomal RNA", at positions 477 to 747 of the family's 1478-position model. The record is from RNAcentral.